RNAcentral lists this ribosomal RNA (484 nucleotides) under uncultured bacterium. RNAcentral describes it as "partial 16S ribosomal RNA". It matches the Rfam family "Bacterial small subunit ribosomal RNA", at positions 30 to 507 of the family's 1533-position model. The record is from RNAcentral.
AUUGAACGCUGGCGGCAGGCCUAACACAUGCAAGUCGAGCGGAUGAAGGGAGCUUGCUCCUGGAUUCAGCGGCGGACGGGUGAGUAAUGCCUAGGAAUCUGCCUGGUAGUGGGGGAUAACGUCCGGAAACGGGCGCUAAUACCGCAUACGUCCUGAGGGAGAAAGUGGGGGAUCUUCGGACCUCACGCUAUCAGAUGAGCCUAGGUCGGAUUAGCUAGUUGGUGGGGUAAAGGCCUACCAAGGCGACGAUCCGUAACUGGUCUGAGAGGAUGAUCAGUCACACUAGAACUGAAACACGGUCCAGACUCCUACGGGAGGCAGCAGUGGGGAAUCUUGGACAAUGGGCGCAAGCCUGAACCAGCCACGCCGCGUGUGUGAAGAAGGUCUUCGGAUUGUAAAGCACUUUAAGUUGGGAGGAAGAGCAGUAAGUUAAUACCUUGCUGUUUUGACGUUACCAACAGAAUAAGCACCGGCUAACUUCGUG